This 320-nucleotide ribosomal RNA is filed under the name uncultured bacterium. Its description in RNAcentral is "bacterial SSU rRNA". It matches the Rfam family "Bacterial small subunit ribosomal RNA", at positions 85 to 422 of the family's 1533-position model. The record is from RNAcentral.
GCAAUACGGAGCGGCAGACGGGAGAGUAACACGUGGGAACGUGCCCUUUGGUUCGGAACAACACAGGGAAACUUGUGCUAAUACCGGAUAAGCCCUUACGGGGAAAGAUUUAUCGCCAAAGGAUCGGCCCGCGUCUGAUUAGCUUGUUGGUGAGGUAACGGCUCACCAAGGCUACGAUCAGUAGCUGGUCUGAGAGGAUGAUCAGCCUCACUGGGACUGAGACACGGCCCAGACUCCUACGGGAGGCAGCAGUGGGGAAUAUUGGACAAUGGGCGCAAGCCUGAUCCAGCCAUGCCGCGUGGAUGAUGAAGGCCCUAGGG